This 149-nucleotide non-coding RNA is filed under the name Chlorocebus sabaeus (green monkey). Lineage: Eukaryota; Metazoa; Chordata; Mammalia; Primates; Cercopithecidae. The record is from Rfam by way of RNAcentral.
GCUGGGCAUGGUGUCACAUGCCUGUAGUCCAGGCUACUUGGGAAGCUGAGGUUAGGAGGAUCACUUGAGCCCAGGAAGUCGAGGCUGUAGUGAGCUAUGAUUGUGCCACCAUGCCCUAGCCUGGGCUACAGAGUGAGAUUCUGUCUCUU